UUUUUUUUUUUUUUUUUUUUUUUUUUUGGUCUUUUGUAGGGCCACACUGGUGGCAUAUGGAUGUUCCCAGGCCAGGGGUCUAAUCAGAGCUGUAGCUGCUGCCCUAUGCCAGAGCCACAGCAGCAAGGGAUCCAAGCCGUGUCUGCGACCCACACCACAGCUCACAGCAACACCAGAUUCUUAAACCACUGAGCAAGGCCAGGGAUCAAACCUGCAACCUCAUGGUUCCUAGUCGGAUUCGUUAACCGCUGAGCCAUGACGGGAACUCCUAUAAGUACAUUUUUGAAAAGACUUCCUUAGCAAAGAAAUGUUUUUAUGCCAUAACUGUAAAUAUACAUUUUAAACUUCUAAGAUUUUUUUAUUUUUAUUUUUUUGUCUUUUUGUCCUUUUAGGGCCACACCUGCGGCAUAUGGAGGUUCCCAGGCUAGGGGUCUAAUCGGAGCUGUUGCUGCCAGCCUUCGCCAGAGCCACAGCAAUGCCAGAUCCGAGCCGCAUCUGCGACCUACACCACAGCUCACGGCAACGCCAGAUCCUUAACCCACUGAGCGAGGCCAGGGAUCAAACCCGUAACCUCAUGGUUCCUAGUUGGAUUCAUUUCCACUGCGCCACGACAGGAACUCCAAACUUCUAAGGUUUUAAAUCCUAUAAAAUCAAGCUAAAGGUGACUAUAGCCAGUUAUUUUUAAUAUAGUAGGAAGAUUCUGCUCAGGUAGUAUUAUACAGCUCUAAGGUUUUACCAAAUAUUCGAGGUCACAACAUAUUUAAAUGUGAUAACUGAAUGUAAGUGAUCAAAGCAGUCAACUUACGUAAUUAUAAAUAUACAUCCGAAUGAUCUAUUAUUCCCUUCCUCAUAUUUGAGAAACUAAUUUUUUGCUUUUUAGUAUAAUAUGGACUAUUUAAAUAGCACUUUGCACUUUACAAAAACUUUCAUAUGUACCAUACAUUCUCAAUGGGAGUGAUACUGUUCUUGAAAGGAUGAAAAAUUGGUUGGGGGGAUUCUGAGAUAUUACAAUGGUUUAAGGCCUUCCAACAGGCCACAGUACAUAAACAAAUACACAGUAUUUCGGCACCUAACUGUGACUUAGGUGAGUCAUAAAGAAAUAAAAGGUUUACAAACACAAAUACCACCUUAUUUGAUCAUCCCAACCAUCUAGUAGGUAAGACGUGUAGCAGUCCUCUUUUUAAAAAGCAUAUGAGAAAAAUAAAGCUGGAAGAAUGAAAGGAAUGAAUAAAGGAGAGCAAUGGGUAGUACACAGCCAAAUGAAAUGUUACUGCGUAUCAAUAUGUGUAUGUGUACAUACAACAUAAAAAUAAUGUGCAACCUCACUCAUAAUUAAAGAAAUGUCAACUAAAAAAAAUUAGAUGUAAUUCUCAUCAAAUUUGCAAAAUAAAAAAGGGGGGAUAAUACCUAGAGUUGAUAAGGAUAUGGAGAAAUAUGCAUUUUGAUUUUGAUUAACUUAAUUAUAGAAGCACAAGUUUUUGAAAAGCAAUCUGGCAUCGACUAUCAAAAUUACAAACGCAUAUACCCUUUGAUUCAGCAAUUCUACUGCUAGGAAUUUAUCCUACUGACAUACCCUCCAGGCAAAUGUAUGCAGCAAGAGGUUGACUGUAUUAGUCAAAAACUAUAAAUAACCUAAAUAUCCAUUAAUAAGGAACUGGUUUUAUAAAUUAUGGUAACCUAGAAAUGGAAUAACAUAGAGGCAUUAAAUAUGUAAACUCACUGAUGCAGAAAAUAUACAAAGGAUACUGAAAUCAGCAAGUAGCAGUAUAGAUAGCAUGAUCCCUCUAUUUUGCGCAAAUAUAUAAAUAUAAGCUUGCUUUGCAUGAAGAAACAGAGAUUCUUUGGUUUAGAGCCCUAUGCAAGCUUUAAAAAAUUAAAACAUGAGGAUAUAUCCUUUAAUAAAUAAUUGCUUAUGAAAAUAUUAAAAUGACUUAUUCAAGUUCAUACAAUUAAGAAGCAUAGCUAUUAAUAAAAUUCUAUUCUUUUGGCCCAAUCCAUUUUAUAUUUCACAUUAUAUUACUUUAUAAAGCUUACUACUGUCCAUUUGGUUAAUUAAACAUGGUAAUGUCUGUGGUUCCAUAAUGCUUACUGAAAUAUAAAUACACCUAUAGGUUCUCAACACUUCUCCUGAGCUACCUAAAUCUAUCUUUCCAACCUUCUUCAUAUCUUUUCAUUCUCUAAAGACAUCUAGUGUUUUCUGACCUUUAUUUAUUUGGGCAACUAGCCUUGGUCAAGGAAACCUAUCCCAACCCAUUUCUCUCUCUGAAACAUUAAAAAAAUCUUCUAUUUUCAUGGCCUGACAAAGAAUAAGAGAGUAAAUACUGUUGAAUAAAUGAAUAAAUAUCCAUCGGACCAGAUCCUACUAGUCACUUCUCAAAGUUCAUCUCCAACGUUCUAUUCUCUCUGAAAGAUUUUCUAACUUCUCAAUCUUAAGCUGUUAAAUUGAAUGAAUUCAGAAAUUGGAUCAUGUAAAAUCAGCCCCAUAGUUCUACUUCUAAUGAGAAAAAAAGCAAGCAAAACGUUUUUGUUUUUUCUAAGAGAACAAAAGGGAAGAAGAGCCCAGAGAAGAGCUCCCUGCAUGGCACCAGCACCAAGUUUCUUCUUAUGACUACACUUUACUUUUCCGACAAAAAGAAACCUCCUGUCUACCACUGUGGACACCAGGGAUCGAGUCACAUUUUCUAGGCUCAAAUUGUGGAAAUGCCUUUACUAACUAUCUGACCUUAAGGCAUGCUGGUUAAACUCUGUGCCUCAGUACCCUCAAUGUAAAUGUGGGAAAUAUACAUUUGACAGGUUAUGUGAAGGUUAAACAAAUACCCCUGAAGUAACCACAACACCUGACACACUAGCCAGUAAGUACCCCAUUUAGCUAUUAUUUUUACUACUCUCACCUUCACACUGUCACUGCUCUGAUGGGUAUAUUUGCCCAGUUAGGUGAUCAGAACAAGAUUAAAAGCAGGAUGGCACUUACAGUUCAAAAACAUAGGUCCUUACACUGCCCCAUUAGAUUUGUUCUCGGCAAUUUUCAUGUAAUGUUUUCUCAAUAUUUCUACUGAGGAAGAGAAGAAGGUAGUAAACAAAAUCUAGAGAAAGCAGAGGCUGCACAGGCGUAGCAUACAUUCAACUUAGUAAAUACCUGUGGAAUCUUCCCAUGUGCCAGAAGCUAGGCUAGAAGGUAACUGUUUCACAGUAAACAAGACAGUAAAAGUCUAUCCUCAGAGAAUUUACAUUCUAGGUGAAGACAAAUAAUACGCUAAGGAUAAAAUAAAGUUCACGAGUCAAGUAGUGUCAUAUGUUAUGAAGGAAAUGCAGAGGAUGAUGAGACAAGAGGAUAACAGGGCACAACAGAGCUUAUCUGACGAAGUGUAGUCUCAGAAGAUCCCAACCCCAAAAGCAUAUGGGAUGGGCGGUGGGGGCAGAAGGGUGUUGAUGGUUACAACUAUGCUCGUCAGCAAUAGGAAAGUAACUAAAGAGGAAGUGACUAUAAUUUAGAUUAAAGGAACAAGAAAGGAAGUAUAAUAUUUUAAAAGGAGUAAGCAUGGGAGUUAACCCUUCUUCUCACAACCUCUUUAUUCUCUAGUUCCCCAAGGCACUCUUGCAUACUUCAAUAUUAGGCAUAAAAUACCAUUCACCAGACAAACCUUUCACUGGGAAUGGUUAUAUCUUCUUGGAAACUAGGUGGACAAAAAUCUCCUCCAGUUAUUUACAUAAGUUCUAAAACAUUCUCAAUUUUUUUUCAGAAGUAAAUUUAUUCUCCACCUUUUGAUAAUACCUAAAUCUGUCUUUUCCUUACAAUUAAGAUAAAAUAUUUAGGACAGAGCACUAACUUAUUUGACCUAUUAAUGUCAAUAUAUAAAGAAAGCAAAAAUAUCACAGCUUGAAACCAAAUUAAAAAGUAUAAAUAUUAUUAAUUAAAUCCAAGGUCUUUAGUUGUUUGUAGUAAAGGACAACCACUGAAGGUCAGAAGCUCCUAGCCUGGUGUGUGGGACAUCAAAUCCUAAUAGGAGAGUGUGAGAGGGGAGGAGGAAGAUAUGAAUGAGCUGGGAAAAGAAAGCUUGGCACCAAGGCACCCAAUCUCUGGGGCAUGAGGCCACAAAGGCAAAGCAAAAUCUAGGUCUCAUCUCUGAGUGAUUAGAAAUAUUGCCCUUCCUACAAACUCUUUUAGUCAGAAAUUGCUAAUGCUAAGACUGACUGGAUAAAUUUAUUAAUAGGAAGAAUUUGUGAAUUGUCUAAUAUGCCAGUAGGCCCUUGGUGGUUACCAGUCUACAGAUGGAAAUGACAGAAAGCAAAGUUUAGUCUGCUCUAGCAAUUCUUCAUGCAGUUUUAUGCAGCAUUAUGCUUUUGUUAUUUACUUUUGUUUCUGGAACAACUUAUAAAGCAGAAAUAUCGGUAAAUCUAGGAGUGUCUGUCUGUCUCUGUCCCUCUCUCUCAUACACAUACACACUCUCUCUCUCCCCGCAACACAUAAACACAUUCUCUCCACACACGCACACCCCUUUAGUUAACUUCAGAGUGAAACGGCUUUACAAAAUGGACUUCUAAAAUGUGAUCCUAUCUUUUACCUAAAUAACCAAGAUUACUGGUUGUAUUUUGUGCAACCCAUGGUGAAGUUUUCAACAGCAAUAGCAAGGGGAAGCAGCUAGACUUAAUAUAUAUGCUUUCUUCCCUAAAGAAAUAAAUAGGCCAAGAAAGUAAAAGAUGGAAAGGAGGGUUCCCUUUCCUAGAAUUUAUACAACUGCACAGAAUUAAAUAGAUUAGAAAUUGUCCAUCUUUCAGGAUACAAAAGCAUUAUUUCUAACACAUUAGGUGAAGCAAUAUAAUGACUAAUCCAAAAAUCCUACUCAAAAAUGUCCAUAUUCUCUUUAUUAAUGGAAAACCAUCCUGAUGCAUAAGCUACCUCUUAGGAUAGAGCCCUGCCUCCUAUCUAAACCUUAUAAAUGAAUAUGGAUAUAGGUCAAAGGAUAAGGAAAAUUUAACUGGAACAGAAAAUCUGGUUCAGACUCAAAUUAACAUCUUCCUCAUACCUCUUCCUUCUGGCAGUACUUGCAAAACCUGUAGCAACAAACUAUCACUUCAUUAUCUUCCCACAAGACACUGGUUUUCUCUAACACUUCACAAUGCUUCUGAGAUAGCGUAUCUGACAUAACACCUCUACAUCUCUCCCACAUUUAACGAGAUAAAGAAAAGGAAGAAAGAGGGUACACGGUGUUGGUGCUACAAGUGUGAGAAUACAACUCUUCCUGAACAUUCAAAUUAACUACAGAGCUCAAACCAUUUUCACUAUUUUCCCAUUUAGGUAUCUGACAUGUUCUGAGUUCUCCCUUUAAAGUAAUUAACACACUCUAGGGUCGUUCAUUCAGUGUUAACCAAUGACAAUCAUUAACUAAGGGUAGGAGAACCUGUCCCAUUUUAACUAAACUAAAAUAACACACAGUAAUUAAAAAAUUCAUAGUGGUUGUUUUAAUGAUUUUUCUUUAAUAAAAUAAAGUUGAGUAGUCAAAUGUGGUCUUUGAAGAAGGCUAUUUUUAUUUUUUUUUACAGAGCUAGGAUCCGUCAAAGAACAGUAAAUGCUAAGUUUUAAUAUCCAACUUGUUUGUGUAAAAACAUAAUGUUUAAGCUUUCUUCAGUGAUAUUAUUAAAACGAAGACAUAGCUGAUGAGUUCUACCUGUCCUGUAAUAAUACCCAGAAAUAUGUGUAGUGACCUACAUGCAAAAACAGGCAGGAUUUUCAAGGUUGAGACAUAAACUAAAUCUAGAGCUCAGGAAAUUCACAUACUUCUCUCCAACCAAAGCCAUUUACAAGGCCAUCUCCCAACAGGUUUAUUUCAGUGCUUCUCAGCAUCUGUGUGUCUGGGUACAAGUGUUCAGAGGGCAGGAGUCAACCCAUACACUGUGCUUUUAUGGUGCCUUUAGUGAGACUUAACUAAAUUCUACUUGAAAGGCAUCUGACAAUACAAUUGCUGAAAAAUUCAAUGCUCACCCUGCUUGUGAAAUCUUGUGCCUUGUACCUUAUGAUUUCAGCAGUGCCAUGUGUGCUGUGAUAGUUAAGGGCCUGUCAAUGUUUCCAUUAUAAACUCUGGUUUUCAGAGGUUUGUAUCUUGGCCUAUAAAAAUAGAUUCCGGUCUGUAACUUGGCAUAGAAAGUACUGGUAUCAGCCCAAGAGAACAUUUUUUGUUCCAAAGAUUAAAAUAAAAAUCUGUUUAGUAGCUUUAAGUUAAAAGAGUGUUAAAAAAAAAAAAAAAAAGGGGUGGGGGGUGUGGGGGUGAAGUAUAGAAUGUUUUUAAAAACACAAAAAAAAACCCCAGUGCUCAAUGUCUCAUUGCUUCAUUUUAGUUUCUGAAAUGAUUAACACAAUACAAACCAAUGAUACUGCGUAAAUGAAAAACCUAAAAAGAGUUUUAAUUAAAAACACUAUGGUGGAUACCAAAAAAACCCCAUAAAUUUUUGAACAACUACAUAUGUAGUAUCUCAAAUAAUCCCCAUAUUUAAAGACUGUCCAAGUAUUCACCGAUAGUAAAACCAAAACUAUGUUUUUCCAAAUAUGUAAAAAUUAUUUUUAAUGCAUCACUAAAUGUAGAUUUACUACAGAUUAGUAGAGACAAUCUUCAAUCCUCUCUUCAAUUUAUGCUUCAAGAAGUUUCUAAAACAUAUUGUAACUUAAAUAUAAGAAACUCUGAGAUAAUCUUAUAUACUGUUUGUUAAAAGACAUAAUUUAAGUUUUGUGGGAUUUUUUUUUAGCUUAACAAAGAUCCAUUUCCUUCAAAAAUAUAAUGCUGUUAUAUAACACUGCUGCAUCUUUAAAAAACACAUUUUUGAAGCAGUAACAUAUUUGCUAAAUGUGGUACAGGAGUUCCCAUCGUGGCUCAGUGGUUAACAAACCUGACUAGUAUCCAUUAGGACGCAGGUUCAAUCCCUGGCCUCCCUUAGUGUGCUAAGUAUCUGGCGGUUGCCAUGAGCUGUGGUAUAGGUCACAGACGCAGCUCAGAUCCCGCGUUGCCGUGGCUGUGGCGUAGGCCAGCAGCUACAGCUCAAUUCGACUCCUAGCCUGGGAACCUCCAUAUGCCAUGAGUGGUGCAGCCCUAAAAAGACUAAAUAAAUAAACAAAUUAAUUAAUUAAAUAACUAAAAUAAAAUAAAGGGGGUACAAACUAGUACAACUGCCAUGGAGAAUAAUGAGGAUAAUUUGGAAAUACCUACCAAUAUAUUUAUUUAUUUAUACUCACACACACACACAUUGACCUUGAAACUGCAUUCUUAGGACAUUAUGCUAUGAAUAUACUUACAUGUAUGUGAAAGAAUAUAGACAUAAUUUAUAACACACAAUAAUAUUCCUCACAGAAUUUUUAAAAUAGCAAAAUGUUGAUUGGUUGGGGAUCUAUUAAGUAAGUUAUUGUACAUGCAUACAGUGAUAUUAUUAUACAGCUAUUAAAAAUGAACAAAGAGGGAGUUCCCAUUGUUACUCAGGGAGUAAUAAACCCGACUAGUAUCCAUGUGGAAGUCAGUUCCAUCCCUGGCCUUGCUCAGCAGGUUAAGGAUCCAGUGUUGCAGACAUAUCUACUUGGCUUGGAUCUCAUGUUGCUGUGGCCAUGGUGUAAGCCAGUGGCUGCAGCUCCAACUGGACCCCUAGGCCUGGGAACCUCCAUAUGCCACGGGUUAUGGAGACAAAAAAAAAAAGAAGAAGAAGAAGAAGAAGAAAAAAGAAAAACACAAAACAAAGAAUGAUACAGCAAUACAGAAAGGCUUCCAAAUUGUAAUAAGGGCCUAUGCUACUAUUUGUAGGAGAGAAAAUGAGGGAAGAAGAAUAUAUAUAUGUAUCUGAGAAAGUUGUAUUUGUUUUUGCAUUCAUAAAACAUUUUUAGAAAGACAUAAUAAACAAACAACAGAGAUUAAUGGUUUCCCACAAAUAUAAUGUAAUAAUUUUGGGUGGCAUUUCUAAUCAAAGACUCAGUAUCAGAUAGCAUAACCAAAUAACCGUAGAAAGAAAAAAUAACUUUAAGCUUAUAUAAUUACUGAAAACAAUAAAAUUAGGCAUUAUACCUAUACUCAGCCCAGUGGUUCUCAAAUAUUGGUACCUUAUAACAGAAUCCCUCAAGAUCUCAUUAAAACAAAGAUUCCUGGGAGUUCUCCC
Molecule: long non-coding RNA, 8127 nt
Filed under: Sus scrofa (pig)
Lineage: Eukaryota; Metazoa; Chordata; Mammalia; Artiodactyla; Suidae
Description: lncRNA (ENSSSCG00040049718.1)
Source: RNAcentral